Bufo bufo (common toad) is the source of this 1050-nucleotide long non-coding RNA. RefSeq lists it as uncharacterized. NCBI's taxonomy places the organism in Eukaryota, Metazoa, Chordata, Amphibia, Anura, Bufonidae. The transcript has 2 exons. The record is from RefSeq and is a predicted model, not a curated record.
CAUAUUUUCUGCACCAGUAUAAAAGCAUUAGAGUGAAUUAUACAGGUAAAAUAAAGUAUUACAUAUUACCUAGAAAAAUCUGCAUGUAAUAACAAUAAUAUGACAUAUACACAUAAGCUCAAUAUGAGCCAUGUUUUCCACAUAUGUGAAACCAACUAUUACUGUAUCAAGUUGUGCCAUUCACAAUUGAAUUAAUGGAUAAAUGUCUUCAAGCAUAUGCACUAUGUUUCCAGACACUGAAAGGGUUAAAUAGCAUCUGGCUAAUAGAUAUUAGGCUAGUACAGUGAACCGGUAGCAAUACAGCUGUAAAAACUAGACAUAAACUUAUAAAGAAAUCCUUGAUGGAAUAUAAUCUGAUCAUUACCUUUCGAUAUGUUAAGGUAUGAUACAGUGUAAUUUGUUAUGUAUAGUAAUAUCUUUCCCGCAUAUAGCAUUAUUUUAUCUCAGUUACAUAAUCCGUUUUAUCAUUUGUAAUAACAUAAAAGGUAUAUGACCUUGAAUGUUUACUCUAAGUCUGUCUAAAGAUUGCAGCAUUUUAUAAAUAUAUUGGGGUGGCGGUUACCAGUUAGGAGCCUUAAUCAUGGAAGCACACUCAGAGGUAUUUCUCAGAUAUGGAGAUCUUCCUAACCUUGUCCCUUAUUACCCCAGGCUACAUCUUCUAAACCAGCCAUGCUUAACCUGCGGCACUCCAGCUGUUGCAAAACUACAACUCCCAGCAUGCCUGAACAGCCUACAGCUAUCAGCCUACAGCAGGGCAUUGUGGGAGUUAUAGUUUUACAACAGCUGGAGGGCCGCAGGUUGAGCAUGCCUGUUCUAAACCACCCCUGGCCAUAAGCUCAGAUUAGUGUUCUUGAUUUAUUGUGGCAACUGAUACUCCAGAAUUGUACCAGCUGCUAUAAUACAUGUAUCUUCUCUAUGCUGUCUGCUGUCUACGCAGUUAAAAAAGGGCAAAUAACUGGUAACCAGACAGAUUUUAGAUUUGCGAAGUCCAAGGCAGUGCUGAGAAUCCAGAACCAUCGAAGGACAUAGAAUUAGGAAUUCAGGAGUCAC